UACGUAGGGUGCGAGCGUUGUCCGGAAUUAUUGGGCGUAAAGAGCUCGUAGGCGGUUUGUCGCGUCGACUGUGAAAACUGGGGGCUUAACUCUCAGCUUGCAGUUGAUACGGGCAGACUUGAGUUCGGUAGGGGAGACUGGAAUUCCUGGUGUAGCGGUGAAAUGCGCAGAUAUCGGGAGGAACACCGGUGGCGAAGGCGGGUCUCUGGGCCGAUACUGACGCUGAGGAGCGAAAGCGUGGGGAGCGAACAGG
RNAcentral lists this ribosomal RNA (253 nucleotides) under uncultured bacterium. RNAcentral describes it as "partial 16S ribosomal RNA". It matches the Rfam family "Bacterial small subunit ribosomal RNA", at positions 524 to 776 of the family's 1533-position model. The record is from RNAcentral.